This 388-nucleotide long non-coding RNA is filed under the name Homo sapiens (human). Its description in RNAcentral is "HSALNT0045714". The record is from RNAcentral. Lineage: Eukaryota; Metazoa; Chordata; Mammalia; Primates; Hominidae.
UCACCAUUCCCUUUACUGGACAUCCCCAAAAGAUUGUUCAGUUCUUAAAUCCCUUGUGUGGUGGUAAGAGGUCUGGGAAGUUUCUGGAGGGAAGAAGUGGUUUCUGUGGGUGUGAUCUGGUGGACACCCAACUGGAAGCCUCUUUGGAAACCCCGGGAAACCCCCAUGGGCUCUUGCCAGGCCCUCUGCCCUCCUGUUCCCAGUCUACUGCUGACUCCACACUUAGCAACCACUCACUUCAACUCCCGAGAAGACUGGCCCUUCAGAAGAGACAGGAAAAUAUCUGUGAGGGGAAUCCCUCAACUCCAGGAGAAGAAGAGACUGAGAUGUUCUGAUAAAAGUUUAAUUUAAAAAGGAAAAAAAAAAAGGUUUACACUUACAUUUGAGA